CAGAACGAACGCUGGUGGCGUGUCUUAUACAUGCAAGUCGAGCGGUGCAGCAAUGCAUAGCGGCGAACGGGUGAGUAACGCGUAAGCAAUCUGCCCCCUGUUCGGGAAUAGCCGUGCCAACGCGCGGGUAAUACCGGAUAUAGUGGCCCUGGACAUCCGGGGUUGACAAAAGAUUUAUCGACAGGGGAUGAGCUUGCGUCCGAUUAGCUAGUUGGCGGGGCAACGGCCCACCAAGGCGACGAUCGGUAGCCGGCCUGAGAGGGUGAUCGGCCACAUUGGGACUGAGAUACGGCCCAGACUCCUACGGGAGGCAGCAGUAGGGAAUAUUGCACAAUGGGGGAAACCCUGAUGCAGCAACGCCACGUGUUGGGAAGAAGCAUUUCGGUGUGUAAACCACUGUCGUGAGGGAAUAAGGCUGAGUUUCGGCUCAGUUGAAUGUACCUCGAGAGGAAGCACCGGCAAACUUCGUGCCAGCCGCAGC
RNAcentral lists this ribosomal RNA (481 nucleotides) under uncultured bacterium. RNAcentral describes it as "bacterial SSU rRNA". It matches the Rfam family "Bacterial small subunit ribosomal RNA", at positions 25 to 518 of the family's 1533-position model. The record is from RNAcentral.